CUUCAUCAUGGCUGUGUCUUCCGAUGUUGUCCGAAUUCCAACACGGUCUGGUUGUGGCCUUUUUGUCCUAGGGUUUUCUCAUCUGAUUUCUCAUUUCCAUUCUCGCAGAUUUGUUGUGCCCUUCAACCCGUUCCCCUUGCCGACUUCUCUGGCCAGCUUGAGCUUGGUUACAUCUUCUUCGUUUGUUUUAGUCUCGGCCUCGCGGUGCUUCUCUUACUGGUUCAUCUGAAUCGUAAUCGUAGUUCCUCUUCGUUUUUUUCCCGUAUGGUUUUUUUCCCAUCUUUUUUCGUUGCAAUUUGUUGUUGGCCAUGGUGUUUGUUUUAAUCCUUGUCCUGCUUUUGCUGCUAUUUCACUGUUAUAUCUCGCUCUUAUUCUUGCUGCUCAUUGUUCUUUGCUUAUAUAUGUCAGGAAAUUUUUUCCUCCCUGAAUGUUGUGCCUCUGAGCUUAUUUCCCCUUGGUAUCUUUUUCCCCUGUGGCUUUCGAUGCUGUUUACCAUGGGUUUUUUUUUCGUUUUCCCAUUAGCCUUUUUGUUCUGUUCAUUCCUUUACGUAAUAUGUAUGUGUUCUUUUGAAGUAAUGUUGUUGUUCAGAAAUUUUGAACGUGCAAGUGGUUUCCGUUUGAUUUAUUUUGUUAUUCUCGUUUGCCCUUUUUUCCUUGUGCGCUCCUUUUCGUUAUAUGCAUGUUUUCUGGUUCUUACAUUUUUUUCCCCCUUUUAUUGCCGCUGUUGGUUACUAAUAAAUUUCUUGCCUGGUGGAGAUAGGCUGAUAUGCGUAUUUGCCCACGAUGAUUUUUUUAUAAAUGGGUCAAUGUUUUCUGCCUUGACUGCUAUUUAUUUUUCUUGGUGCAUUUCCUUGUUGUUUCCCUCCAAGGCAUUUGCUGUGUUUUAGAUCUGCUCUUCUGCUUUGAGUUGAGAUAGUUUUGGGUCCUUUCUGGCCCUCUCUAGAUCUACUGUUUUGCUCUCCGGAAGGGUGCAAUCUUGCUCUUUUCCUCUGUAGGCUAGAGUUGUUAUGUUUCUUUAAAUGACUUUUUCUUGUGCUUCUACCGUGCUUGCGAACCUUAUUCUUGCCUUAUGCCUCAGUGGUUUUGAUAACUGAUCUAGAAAGAUCUGCUACUCUUUACCUGUUAUUGGACUAAUUUCAAAUAGACAUGAUGAGAAUUGUUUUGUAUGCUUUGCCGGCAAGGAAACCGUACUCAGAUGCUCGCUCUGUUAUUGCCAGAGAAUAUGUUGUUGUCGACCAAAGGUUGUAUUCAAUAUCAAUUUCUGAUGGCUAUUUCUUUCGUACCUAUAGUGAUUUGUUUUUAUAUAUGUUCUUUUGCAGUAAUAUGCCUGUUCAUUUGACAUUGUUUGGUGAGUUUGAGUCUGAAGAGGGAAGAGCUAUAGUAGGCUACACAGCUUGAAUAGUGGUUGUCAUUUCCUCCUGGUUGUAAUUUGAAAAAAGAUUUCUCUUUUUCCUUUUUAGCUAACGUCCACCGUGGCUUUUAAAAUCAAUUAUUAUUACUAAUUUCUCAUCUGUCUCCAUGCAGGUACCGACAUAAUUGUUCUGAUCCAAUUGCUUUUGUUCUGGAGAAGAGAUACUGCAAUCCCCUUCUGUUUCUUCCUCCUGUUGGUGACACCAUGCUGUCUACUGUUGUCGGUGUUCACACAACAACUCAAUUUAUUAGGCGCCUUGUCCUUUCUAUGUUGCUUUCUGUGAUUUCCCUUAUUUGCCUAAACUAGCUUCUUUUUGAAACUUCUGAAUAUGCUUAUACUGUUCUUUGAGGCUAUAGGUGCUGCAUGGAUUAAGGGAAGAGUAA
RNAcentral lists this long non-coding RNA (1794 nucleotides) under Coffea arabica (coffee). RNAcentral's name for it is "long non-coding RNA (CARA_LNC006837)". The record is from RNAcentral. Lineage: Eukaryota; Viridiplantae; Streptophyta; Magnoliopsida; Gentianales; Rubiaceae.